AGGAAACUUCCAGAGACAGAGCUGUCUGGCCUGGCAUCCAGGGACUGAGCCUACUGUAGAGUUACAUCCUCCAGAAGCAGGAAACGUAUGGAAUCAUUUGAGCUUAAGAGACUGUGACAUUUUUAUAGAAUGAAAGGAGUAACUGAGAGAUACAGUGACAGAGCUGGGAGCUGCAGCUGGCUGGCUGUUCCAUGGAGCAUUCCCUUCAUAGAUUUUUAUGACUCUCCUAGCCCUAAUAUUAAACACUUGACCUUUUUGUCAAAUACUAUUUUAUAUUAUUAGGUUGGAUGAUUAGUUACUAAAUAUACCAUCUAUAGUAAAUAGGAAAUUGUGUAGUCUGAUGCUUUUAGUCUUAGACCUUUCAGGUAUUGGUCCUUUGGCAUUUAACAUUACAACAUUGAGUGCUCUUAUAUUAAGUCCCUUGGUAAGCAAGAAGUGCACAGCACUUUCACAUAGGGCAGAGGAGUUUCUGAAGCAGAAUUACCAGAGUGGAGAAUGCUGUAAACAUUGUAAAGUCAGGGAUAACUAGGAGCCAGCUGUUGCUGAACAAUGCACCUUAAUCUACAGCCUAGGAAUAAGAGCAUUUACUUUUUAAAAUUCUAUAAACCAGAACUUUGUAAAUGCCUCUUCCCUGUACCUCUCUCCCUGGUGAACAAUUCUAUCCAUCCCCUCCCUUAUCACAUGCAAAAUAGUACUGAUGUUAGAAGCAGAAUUAAUAAUUGGCUUUUUUACCUCUCCCUCCCAGCACUUCAUGCCCUGUUUUGGGAAACCCUGCUGCAAGCCACUCCCUCCCAUAAAUCCCACCUCAAAUAUUUGGAUUUAAAGUGCUCCACUGCCACUAUGGGACUACUCUGGAAGCACAGAAGGAGUCUUCUCAGAAGCUUUGACAACUAUAGAAUGAGGCUACUCACUCCAUUGCAAGGCAGAGAAAAAUGAAUUAAAAAGGACAAAUAACAUGUGUUCUCCAUACUGUAAAUGACCUGACAAAUGCAUGCUGGCCUGAUUACCUUGAUGCCUGGCUUUCUUCAAGACAACUGGAUUAGGGACAAACUCUCUGGUUUGGCAAAGUAGCUCUGUAGGCCGAGUACUGCACCUCUUGGUAAGGCUUACCACUAUGUCCAAUAAAAACAGGUGACCAGAAGAGUCUGAAAUUUUUAGCAGAUAUAUAAAAGGAAGAAUAUAUUAAAUUAAGUUUAUAGAAGAACAAGGAGGAUGACCAAACAAGAGCCAUGCUGGUAAUUUCUUAAUUACUCUAUCUGCUAAAGAAAUAGGUAACAUUUAGAUAAAUUACAUAGACUCCAUGUAGCACAAAGAAGUUACUGUUCUUCCUCCCACUCCCUUAAUGAAAUUUAUGAUUCUGCAAUUUAUUAAAUCCUUCUCUCACAUGUGGAAAUACAAAAAAAAAAAAAAAAAAAAAAAAAAAAUCUUCAAUACACCCCCAGAGGAGCACAAGAGGCAGCCAGCUGAUGUAAACAGCAUGUCAGCGUUUUAUGCAGGAACUAAGAGUACUAAAAAGGAGAACCACAUACUUUAGAAAAAUUCUUGAUAGUGUUGGUGUUCAGGUUAGGCUGUCCAGGGAGAGAACUAAUGUGUUCUCAAAUCAUUACUGUGGAUUUUUGGCGACUGUAGUACCAUUCAUGAAACAGCUACCCUGAUCUGUCAUGUGAACACCCAACAUUUCAUGUCUUUCUGACUAGAUUUUAAGGAGAAUAUUGUGGUGCCCUCAUGUUUCAUGCCCUGAAAUUACAAACUGUGUGGUGACCAUCAUAGUAUUUAACAUAUAAAUUAAUUUAGUAUAAAAAACAGCUCUAAAGAACUGCAAGCUUUGUUA
Molecule: long non-coding RNA, 1831 nt
Organism: Taeniopygia guttata (zebra finch)
Lineage: Eukaryota; Metazoa; Chordata; Aves; Passeriformes; Estrildidae
Source: Ensembl